Molecule: ribosomal RNA, 523 nt
Filed under: uncultured bacterium
Lineage: Bacteria
Description: partial 16S ribosomal RNA
Rfam family: Bacterial small subunit ribosomal RNA
Source: RNAcentral
GACGAACGCUGGCGGCGUGCUUAACACAUGCAAGUCGAACGAGACGAUUGAAAGCUUGCUUUAAAAGUCGAGUGGCAAACGGGUGAGUAACGCGUAGACAACCUGCCUUUGAGAUGGGGACAACAGUUCGAAAGGACUGCUAAUACCGAAUGUUGUAUAUUUUCCACAUGGAAGAUAUAUUAAAGAUGGCCUCUAUUUAUAAGCUAUCGCUCAAAGAUGGGUCUGCGUCUGAUUAGCUAGUUGGUGGGGUAACGGCCUACCAAGGCGACGAUCAGUAGCCGGUCGGAGAGGAUGAACGGCCACAUUGGGACUGAGACACGGCCCAGACUCCUACGGGAGGCAGCAGUGGGGAAUCUUCCACAAUGGACGAAAGUCUGAUGGAGCAACGCCGCGUGAGUGAAGAAGGGUUUCGGCUCGUAAAGCUCUGUUGUCGGGGACGAAUGUGCAGUAUUUGAAUAAAGUACUGCAAUGACGGUACCUGACGAGGAAGCCACGGCUAACUACGUGCCAGCCGCCGCAGUAA